AACGCUAGCUACAGGCUUAACACAUGCAAGUCGAACGGAUUCUGGAUUCGUCUGGAAUUAGUGGCAAACGGGUGAGUAACACGUAUCCAACCACCCUGCGACUCGGGGAUAGCCUCUUGAAAGGGAGAUUAAUAUCCGAUGUACUGUUUUUGGUGCAUGCCAUUUUCAGUAAAGUUUUUUACGGUCGCUGACGGGGAUGCGUUCCAUUAGAUAGUCGGUGUGGUAACGGCUCACCGAGUCUAUGAUGGAUAGGGGUUCUGAGAGGAAGGUCCCCCACAUUGGAACUGAGACACGGUCCAAACUCCUACGGGAGGCAGCAGUGAGGAAUAUUGGUCAAUGGCCGGAAGGCUGAACCAGCCAAGUAGCGUGAAGGAUGACCGCCCUACGGGUCGUAAACUUCUUUUAUAAAGGAAUAAAGGCGUCCACGUGUGGACGUUUGCAUGUACUUUAUGAAUAAGCAUCGGCUAACUCCGUGCCAGCAGCCGCGGUAAUACGGAAGGUCCGGGCGUUAUCCGGAUUUAUUGGGUUUAAAGGGAGCGUAGAUGGAUUUUUAAGUCAGUUGUGAAAGUUCGGGGCUCAACCCCGUAAUUGCAGUUGAUACUGGAUAUCUUGAGUACAGUUGAGGUAGGCGGAAUUCGUGGUGUAGCGGUGAAAUGCUUAGAUAUCACGAAGAACUCCGAUUG
Molecule: ribosomal RNA, 683 nt
Filed under: uncultured bacterium
Lineage: Bacteria
Description: bacterial SSU rRNA
Rfam family: Bacterial small subunit ribosomal RNA
Source: RNAcentral